Molecule: ribosomal RNA, 513 nt
Filed under: uncultured bacterium
Lineage: Bacteria
Description: bacterial SSU rRNA
Rfam family: Bacterial small subunit ribosomal RNA
Source: RNAcentral
GGCUAACGCUGGCGGCGUGUCUUAGCCAUGCAAGUCGAGCGGGGAUUAUGCUUGAUCGCUUCGGUGAGACGGCAUAUGUCCUAGCGGCGGACGGGUGAGUAACGCGUGGGUAAUCUACCUCGUAGUUCGGGAUAACAGGCCGAAAGGCUUGCUAAUACCGGAUGAGUUCAUGCUUAUGCAUAUAGGCAUGAAGAAAGGGCUAGCCCGCUAUGAGAUGAGCCCGCGUCCCAUUAGCUUGUUGGUGGGGUAACGGUCUACCAAGGCAACGAUGGGUAGCCGGCCUGAGAGGGUGUACGGCCACACUGGGACUGAGACACGGCCCAGACUCCUACGGGGGGCAGCAGUAGGGAAUUUUCGGCAAUGGGUGAAAGCCUGAACCAGCCAUGCCGCGUGCGGGAUGAAGGCCCUACGGGUUGUAAACCGCUUUUCCCCGGGAAGAAUAACCCCGAUGAGUCGGGGGAUGCCGGUACCGGGGAAUAAGGGAUCGGCUAACUCCGUGCCAGCAGCCGCGGU